Molecule: long non-coding RNA, 1250 nt
Organism: Magnolia sinica
Lineage: Eukaryota; Viridiplantae; Streptophyta; Magnoliopsida; Magnoliales; Magnoliaceae
Exons: 3
Source: RefSeq, a predicted model, not a curated record
UGUGAAUGUGUUAAAACUUCUUCAACCUUCUAUAGAAACCCCAACCUCAGAUUCUUCCUCUCUGAAAUUCCGAAAACAGAAAAGAAAGAGAGAUUAAAUAAGAUCUCUCUCUCUCUCACGAAAAUUGGAUCGGAGAAAACGAAGCAGUCACUGUAGUGGAACGAUAGUGUCGGCGAGGAGCAGCUCAGCUUCUUCCAAGCAUCCUUUAAACCUCACUUCUCCCAAUGCCAAACGCUCCAUGGUUCUCUCAUCUUUAGGGUUUCUCUCUCUCUCUCUGUUUUUUUCUAUUUCCAGCAUUUUGAUUUUGAUGAGGGAUUUGCAAAACAUUAUAUGGAUAUUCCACCUCAGCCAGAUGAUGCCGGCAACACCAGUUGUACACUUCAAAGCGAUUUAUCUUCUCUUCAAGAAGGCCCUCAGCUUCCCUUCGAUCCGACCCCUGUCAGCGUUCUGAAGGAGAAAUCUAACCAGGGCACCGACAGAUUGGCGUGAAGGGUGAAGAUUUUCCAGUUUUAAAAAUGUUUUUCAGCUAAGCAUGUUUGUUUUUAUUUCUAUUGAAGUCUCCACUUUUAUCUCCAAAUAAUAUUUCUUGGAGAUUGGCGUGAAGGGUGAAGAUUUUCUGUUUCCUUCUCAUAUCAGAAGGAAUCCUUUGCAGUGCUCUCGACAGAAAUUCAUUCCCACAUGAAUUCUAAUUUGGUUUCAGUACAUCUGCAUUUCAGGUGGAAGGAGCAGCUCUUGAAGAUGGGAGGGGUGUAAGCAUCUGGGAUACUUUCUGUUCUCUUCCUGGGAAGAUAUUGGGUGGAGGAAAUAGAGAUGUAGCAGCUAAUGUAUAUCAUCGAUAUAAGGUAUUUGCACUUUAUUUGAAUUUGAGGGGACACAAAUUUCCUAUUUGGGGCCCAUUGUGAUGUCUAUGUGGCAUCCACUCCGUUAAUGAUCACAAGAAUUGUAGUGUGGUAUUGAAUCUGUUGAGUUGCUAGAGGAUGACCCAAAUUCAAAGGCUAAAGUGUCAAUGUAUACAGAUGUAUUUGAGCAAACCCCUCAUGAACAUGCCUGAUCCAAGAAUCGAGUUCCACUCAUCAGGUGGGACGUGGAUGUAUGAGAAAAGUGAAUCAAGUGCCACCUGAAGAGUGUUCCAAAUCCCUCUCACAGGCGCUGCAUUUAGUUGCAGAAAGGGGCACAUCACAUCCAUGGUUCUUGAGUCGGCUAUGGUGCUGCUGGAUUUCUUAGGGAUGUCUUUCGAGUCAAUGACAAGA